GGCUGGUCUGAGUGCAGUGCUGUUUACAACUAUUGAUCACAACCAGUUACAGAUUUCUUUGUUCCUUCUCCACUCCCACUGCUUCACUUGACCAGCCUUUA
Callithrix jacchus (white-tufted-ear marmoset) is the source of this 101-nucleotide Y RNA. It matches the Rfam family "Y RNA". Rfam says of the family: Y RNAs are components of the Ro ribonucleoprotein particle (Ro RNP), in association with Ro60 and La proteins. The Y RNAs and Ro60 and La proteins are well conserved, but the function of the Ro RNP is not known. The record is from Ensembl. NCBI's taxonomy places the organism in Eukaryota, Metazoa, Chordata, Mammalia, Primates, Cebidae.